UGUCGCGCACCCAGACCCGCCAUAUAUUCUCUCUUCCCUUUCUUUCUCGUCUUCCUCUCUUCUUCUCCCACAAUCCCUGCGUUCUCGUCAGGACUAGGGUUUUUUCCCACAAUCCUUUCGUGCUCCUCAGGACUAGGGAUUUCUGUGUUCUCGAUUCCUUGGAGGGAGAGAGAUGGGAGGAGGCAACGGUCAGAAAGCGAAGAUGGCCCGCGAGAGGAACUUGGAGAAGCAGAAAGCUGCAAAGGGAAGCCAGCUGGAAUCCAACAAGAAAGCAAUGACCAUCCAGUGCAAGGUGUGCAUGCAGACAUUCAUAUGCACUACCUCAGAAGUAAAGUGCAGGGAGCAUGCAGAGGCUAAGCAUCCGAAAACUGAUGUGUACCAGUGCUUCGAACAUCUCAAGAAGUAGUCUUCUUGUAGGAAUGGGAAGUUGUAAACAGCUGCGAACAUCACCGCCGACCAUAUUAUACAUAUAUAUCCUUCUAAUUUGAUUUUUCUAGGAAUCCAGCGCAGACGCUCCUAAGUUGCUGGCCCAUUGAAAAUGUUCGUGGGAUUAUGAUAUGUGAACUACUUGUUCUACUUCCAUUUCAGGCAAAGGCAUAUGCACCAUGGGGCCCACCCACCUGAUGAACGGCCCUGCGUAUGGGAGACAAAUGCCUAGCCUGGAUUUCUCUAAAGUAUAUGUUAGGACAUGGAUAGAUGUUUUCAUAACAAUCUAAGGGAGUUGGAUUUUCACCCUAUGCCCUUUGAAGCCAAUACAGAGCAGUGCCAUUUGAUGGUCCA
Molecule: RNA transcript, 780 nt
Organism: Magnolia sinica
Lineage: Eukaryota; Viridiplantae; Streptophyta; Magnoliopsida; Magnoliales; Magnoliaceae
Exons: 4
Source: RefSeq, a predicted model, not a curated record